UCGGGAAUAUUGGACAAUGCCCUAACGGGUGAUCCAGCGACACCGCGUGGAGGAUGAAGGUCUUCGGAUCGUAAACUCCUGUCAGGUGGGACGAAGUUCCGGCGCAAGUCGGAAUUGACGGUACCACCGGAGGAAGUCCCGGCUAAUCCCGUGCCAGCAGCCGCGGUAAGACGGGAGGGGCAAGCGUUGUCCGGAUCGACUGGGUGUAAAGGGUGCGUAGGUGGCUUGACGGGUCCAACAUGAAAUCCCCCGGCCUAACCGGGGAAGUGUGUUGGAAACUAUCAAACUAGAGUCUGAAAAAGGAGAGCGGAACUCCUGGUGUAACGGUGAAAUGUGUGGAUAUCAGGAGGAACACCGGUGGCGAAGGCGGCUCUCUAGUUCAAGACUGACACUGAGGCACGAAAGCCGGGGGAGCAAACAGG
This 422-nucleotide ribosomal RNA is filed under the name uncultured bacterium. RNAcentral describes it as "partial 16S ribosomal RNA". It matches the Rfam family "Bacterial small subunit ribosomal RNA", at positions 355 to 776 of the family's 1533-position model. The record is from RNAcentral.